This is a non-coding RNA of Podarcis lilfordi (Lilford's wall lizard), 74 nucleotides long. The record is from the annotation of a GenBank genome assembly. Lineage: Eukaryota; Metazoa; Chordata; Lepidosauria; Squamata; Lacertidae.
GACAAGGCUCAGUCAGUAAAGCAUGAGACUCUUAAUCUCAGGGCUGUGGGUUCGAGCUCCAUAUUGGGCAAACA